GGCCAGACUCCUACGGGAGGCAGCAGUGGGGAAUUUUGGACAAUGGGCGCAAGCCUGAUCCAGCUAUUCCGCGUGUGGGAUGGCGGCCCUCGGGUUGUAAACCACUUUAGUAGAGAACGAAAAGGAGCUAUCGAAUAAAUAGCUCUGCUGACGGUACUCUAAGAAUAAGCACCGGCUAACUACGUGCCAGCAGCCGCGGUAAUACGUAGGGUGCGAGCGUUAAUCGGAAUUACUGGGCGUAAAGGGUGUGCAGGCGGCUGAGUAAGACAGAUGCGAAAUCCCCGGGCUUCACCUGGGGACCGCAUAUGUGACUGCUUGGCUAGAGUGCGUCAGAGUGCGGUGGAAUUCCACGUGUCGCAGUGAAAUGCGUAGUUAUGUGGAAGAACGCCGAUGGCGCGGGCGGCCUCCUGGG
Molecule: ribosomal RNA, 412 nt
Filed under: uncultured bacterium
Lineage: Bacteria
Description: bacterial SSU rRNA
Rfam family: Bacterial small subunit ribosomal RNA
Source: RNAcentral